CAGCAGCCACGGUAAUACGUAGGGUGCGAGCGUUGUCCGGAAUUAUUGGGCGUAAAGAGCUUGUAGGUGGUUUGUCGCGUCUGCUGUGAAAAUCCGAGGCUCAACCUCGGGCUUGCAGUGGGUACGGGCAGACUAGAGUGUGGUAGGGGAGACUGGAAUUCCUGGUGUAGCGGUGGAAUGCGCAGAUAUCAGGAGGAACACCGAUGGCGAAGGCAGGUCUCUGGGCCAUUACUGACACUGAGAAGCGAAAGCAUGGGGAGCGAACAGGAUUAGAUACCCCAGUAGUCCCUGUCUCUUAUAC
Molecule: ribosomal RNA, 301 nt
Filed under: uncultured bacterium
Lineage: Bacteria
Description: partial 16S ribosomal RNA
Rfam family: Bacterial small subunit ribosomal RNA
Source: RNAcentral